AAUGGUGGUUAUAGCGAGGGGGUUCCACCUCUUACCAUUCCGAACAGAGAAGUUAAGCCCCUCAGCGCUGAUGGUACUACCCGAGAGGGUGGGAGAGUAGGUCGCUGCCGUUU
RNAcentral lists this ribosomal RNA (113 nucleotides) under Saprospiraceae bacterium. The record is from RNAcentral. Lineage: Bacteria; Pseudomonadati; Bacteroidota; Saprospiria; Saprospirales; Saprospiraceae.